CAUCACAUGUACAGCUGAUUCUCAAGAUCUUGCACACUAAUGACAUGCUAUUGAGACGACACUACUACACUGCCUGAGCCAAGGACUACAUGCUUUCUGGAAAAUGCCACGGGCAAUAUCUGAUGUGUGGAGACAUUUCACUGCAGCUAAUGUAGAAGGAAAAGCUGUGUACAUUUGCAAAUACUGUGCCAAAUCAUAUGUGAAGAAUGCAACAAAGAUGCAGAAUCAUCUGGCCAAGUGCAUAAAGUUCCCUCAGCGCUCACAACAAGCAACCUCUGACAAAAGUCCCUCUACUUCUAUUCAAGAGUUCAACCGAGUUCAAGUGAAGGUCAAGCAAAUCAUAGAGAAAGCAGACUGCAUUGCAAUCAUCUCUGAUGGGUGGUUGAAUGUUCGUGGGCAAGGAAUAAUUAACUACAAUAUCCACCCCUCAAACAGUAUUCUACAAGAGCACAGACACAAGGGACAACAAACACACCGGUCUCUACAUUGCAGAUGAGCUGAAGACAGUCAUCAAUGAUCUUGGACCACAGAAGGUAUUUGUACUGGUGGCAGACAAUGCUGCGAAAAUGAAGGCUGCUUGGUCUAAAGUGGAGGAGUCUUACCCUCACAUCACACACAUUGGCUGUGCUGCUCAUGCAUUGAAUCUGCUCCUCAAGGACAUCAUGGCACUGAAAACAAUGGAUACACUCUACAAGAGAGCCAAUGAAAUGGUUAGGUAUGUGAAGGGUCAUCAAGUUAUAGCAGCAAUCUACCUCACCAAGCAAAGUGAGAAGAAUAAGAGCACCACAUUGAAGCUUCCCAGCAACACUCGUAGGGGUGGUGUUGUCAUCAUGUUUGACAGUCUCCUGGAGGGGAAGGAGUCUCUCCAAGAAAUGGCCAUAUCACAGUCUGCUGAUAUGGACAGCCCCAUCAAGAGGAUCCUCCUGGAU
This 929-nucleotide long non-coding RNA is filed under the name Salmo salar (Atlantic salmon). RNAcentral describes it as "lncRNA (ENSSSAG00000103310.1)". The record is from RNAcentral. Lineage: Eukaryota; Metazoa; Chordata; Actinopteri; Salmoniformes; Salmonidae.